Molecule: ribosomal RNA, 1150 nt
Filed under: uncultured bacterium
Lineage: Bacteria
Description: bacterial SSU rRNA
Rfam family: Bacterial small subunit ribosomal RNA
Source: RNAcentral
GGAUGGACCCGCGGUGCAUUAGUUAGUUGGUGAGGUAAAGGCUCACCAAGACCGUGAUGCAUAGCCGACCUGAGAGGGUAAUCGGCCACACUGGGACUGAGACACGGCCCAAACUCCUACGGGAGGCAGCAGUGGGGAAUAUUGCACAAUGGGGGAAACCCUGAUGCAGCGACGCCGCGUGAGCGAUGAAGUAUUUCGGUAUGUAAAGCUCUAUCAGCAGGGAAGAUAAUGACGGUACCUGACUAAGAAGCACCGGCUAAAUACGUGCCAGCAGCCGCGGUAAUACGUAUGGUGCAAGCGUUAUCCGGAUUCAUUGGGCGUAAAGCGCGCGUAGGCGUCUCCUCAAGCGGCACCGUCGAAGCCGGGGGCUCAACCCCCGGAAGCGGGCCGAACUGGGGGGAUCGAGUGCGGUAGGGGCAGGCGGAAUUCCCGGUGUAGCGGUGAAAUGCGCAGAUAUCGGGAAGAACACCGACGGCGAAGGCAGCCUGCUGGGCCGGCACUGACGCUGAGGCGCGAAAGCUGGGGGAGCGAACAGGAUUAGAUACCCUGGUAGUCCCAGCCGUAAACGAUGGGCGCUAGGUGUGGGGGAGCCAUUCCUCCGUGCCGCAGCCAACGCAUUAAGCGCCCCGCCUGGGGAGUACGGCCGCAAGGCUAAAACUCAAAGGAAUUGACGGGGGCCCGCACAAGCAGCGGAGCAUGUGGCUUAAUUCGAAGCAACGCGAAGAACCUUACCAGGGCUUGACAUCACCGUGAGCCGGCGGAGACGCCGGGGCCGAAAGGAGCGGUGACAGGUGGUGCAUGGCUGUCGUCAGCUCGUGUCGUGAGAUGUUGGGUUAAGUCCCGCAACGAGCGCAACCCCUAUUGUUAGUUGCUACCAUUAAGUUGAGCACUCUAGCGAGACUGCCCGGGUUAACCGGGAGGAAGGUGGGGAUGACGUCAAAUCAUCAUGCCCCUUAUGUCUAGGGCUACACACGUGCUACAAUGGCAAGUACAGAGAGAUGCAAUACCGUGAGGUGGAGCUAAACUUUAAAACUUGUCUCAGUUCGGAUUGUAGGCUGAAACUCGCCUACAUGAAGCUGGAGUUACUAGUAAUCGCGAAUCAGCAUGUCGCGGUGAAUACGUUCCCGGGCCUUGUACACACCGCCCGUCA